GUAGCCCUCAGCUAACAUCUGCUGCCAAUCCUCCUCUUUUUGCUGAGGAAGACUGGUCCUGAGCUAAGAUCCGUGCCCACCUUCCUCUACUUUAUAUGCAGGAUGCCUGCCACAGCAUGGCUUUUGCCAAGUGGUGCAUAGGUCUGCGCCUGGGAUCCGAACCGCCAAACUUUGGGCUGCCAAAUUGGAACAUGUGAACGUAACCACUGUGCCACUGGGCCGGCCCCAAGAAAAGUCUUAAUUAAGCUCCCUUCCCAAACAGUUUUUUCUUUAGUGAGUAACACAACUUUAUUGGUGGCGGUGGUGUUCUCAGUCAGCACAUGAACAGUUCCCAGCAACUUGGAAAUCUCUUAUUUCAUUCAGCUUGUACACCUUUCCACGUGGCCAGGCUUCCUACGAGUGCAUUUAAUUUUGAUUAAAUUACCUUGGCAUGGAUCCCCCGCCCCCAGUCUUGAGGUCUAAAAGAAUUAGUGAAUUCAGCCGGAGAAAAUGGCAGCAGUCAUUACUGGUUACCUAACACCGUACAGUCUGGAAGAAUAGAAUCUAAUAGCUCUCCCACACCUGGGCUCCAGCAUCCUGCAGAUAAGGCCUUUGAGGUGCGGAGAAGUUAAACAACAGAGUUCACACAGCCAGUCGAUGGUGGAAGUGACAUGAAUCCAUUCUUUUGGACUCAAGAUCCUGUCGGCUGAAGACAAAAACAGAAUGCAGAACCCUGGGCUAGUAGGAGGAAAAAACUACAUUGUUUGGAGAAUUACUCCAGAAUGUUUAAACCCCGUGAAUUUGGCAGCAUAAGGGAUUUCUUCUCAAGGGCCAUAUCUACGGAUACAGCCAGAUACUGGCUUCAAAAGAGCUUGUUUUAUUAACCUCAAGAAGUUAUACAGAACAUGCCAAUUGAAAGACUCUCUUAUUCUGGGAAGAUACAGAUCAAAGAGACUUUUUUCUUUCCUUACUAGCAUCUAUAAG
Molecule: long non-coding RNA, 963 nt
Filed under: Equus asinus (donkey)
Lineage: Eukaryota; Metazoa; Chordata; Mammalia; Perissodactyla; Equidae
Description: lncRNA (ENSEASG00005031716.1)
Source: RNAcentral